This 467-nucleotide ribosomal RNA is filed under the name uncultured bacterium. Its description in RNAcentral is "partial 16S ribosomal RNA". It matches the Rfam family "Bacterial small subunit ribosomal RNA", at positions 28 to 507 of the family's 1533-position model. The record is from RNAcentral.
GACGAACGCUGGCGGCGUGCUUAACACAUUCAAGUCGAACGGAAAGGCCUCUUUCGGGGGGUACUCGAGUGGCGAACGGGUGAGUAACACGUUAGUAACCUUCCCUUUACUUUGGGAUAACUUCAGGAAACUGGGGCUAAUACCGGAUAGGAGCUCCUGCUGCAUGGUGGGGGUUGGAAAGUUUCGGCGGUUGGGGAUGGACUCGCGGCUUAUCAGCUUGUUGGUGGGGUAGUGGCUUACCAAGGCUUUGACGGGUAGCCGGCCUGAGAGGGUGACCGGCCACAUUGGGACUGAGAUACGGCCCAGACUCCUACGGGAGGCAGCAGUGGGGAAUAUUGCACAAUGGGUGGAAGCCUGAUGCAGCAACGCCGUGUGCGGGAGGACGGCCUUCGGGUUGUAAACCGCUUUCGCUCAUGACGAAGCUUUGUGUGACGGUAGUGGGUAAAGAAGCACCGGCUAACUACGUG